GUUGGAGCCGUCCUUGAAAUACCACCCUUGUAUGUUUGAUGUUCUAACUUAGACCCAUUAUCUGGGUUGAGGACAGUGCCUGGUGGGUAGUUUGACUGGGGCGGUCUCCUCCCAAAGAGUAACGGAGGAGCACGAAGGUGGGCUAAUCACGGUUGGACAUCGUGAGGUUAGUGCAAUGGCAUAAGCCCGCUUAACUGCGAGAAUGACGGUUCGAGCAGGUGCGAAAGCAGGUCAUAGUGAUCCGGUGGUUCUGUAUGGAAGGGCCAUCGCUCAACGGAUAAAAGGUACUCCGGGGAUAACAGGCUGAUACCGCCCAAGAGUUCAUAUCGACGGCGGUGUUUGGCACCUCGAUGUCGGCUCAUCACAUCCUGGGGCUGAAGUCGGUCCCAAGGGUAUGGCUGUUCGCCAUUUAAAGUGGUACGCGAGCUGGGUUUAGAACGUCGUGAGACAGUUCGGUCCCUAUCUGCCGUGGGCGUUGGAAGAUUGAAGGGGGCUGCUCCUAGUACGAGAGGACCGGAGUGGACGAACCUCUGGUGUUCGGGUUGUGUCGCCAGACGCAUUGCCCGGUAGCUAAGUUCGGAAUUGAUAAGCGCUGAAAGCAUCUAAGCGCGAAGCGAGCCCUGAGAUGAGUCUUCCCUGACAGUUUAACUGUCCUAAAGGGUUGUUCGAGACUAGAACGUUGAUAGGCAGGGUGUGUAAGCGUUGUGAGGCGUUGAGCUAACCUGUA
This 727-nucleotide ribosomal RNA is filed under the name Vibrio cholerae. Its description in RNAcentral is "partial 23S ribosomal RNA". It matches the Rfam family "Bacterial large subunit ribosomal RNA", at positions 2179 to 2900 of the family's 2925-position model. The record is from RNAcentral. Lineage: Bacteria; Pseudomonadati; Pseudomonadota; Gammaproteobacteria; Vibrionales; Vibrionaceae.